AAGCUCGUAGUUGAAUUUCGGGAUUAGUACGUCGGUCGUGCCUUAGGUACGUACUGGUGUUACUGGUUCCUACCCUCUGACGAACCAUCAUGUCAUUAAUUUGGUGUGGUGGGGAAUCAGGACUGUUACUUUGAAAAAAUUAGAGUGUUUAAAGCAGGCUCGCGCUUGAAUACAUUAGCAUGGAAUAAUGAAAUAGGACGUUGAUCCUAUUUUGUUGGUUUCUAGGAUUGACGUAAUGAUUAAUAGGGAUAGUUGGG
This 257-nucleotide ribosomal RNA is filed under the name uncultured Glomus. Its description in RNAcentral is "partial 18S ribosomal RNA". It matches the Rfam family "Eukaryotic small subunit ribosomal RNA", at positions 624 to 886 of the family's 1831-position model. The record is from RNAcentral. Lineage: Eukaryota; Fungi; Glomeromycota; Glomeromycetes; Glomerales; Glomeraceae.